Molecule: long non-coding RNA, 575 nt
Organism: Pseudopipra pipra
Lineage: Eukaryota; Metazoa; Chordata; Aves; Passeriformes; Pipridae
Exons: 2
Source: RefSeq, a predicted model, not a curated record
GUGUGGUCGGGCUACCAGGCAGCUCUGCCCUGACUGACAGCCCGGCUGCAGGGACUGCAGCUCUGCCCUGUGCUCUGCGUGGGCUGCAGGCCUUUGUUACCACCCACCCCAGAAAAAGGGGAGAGGAGUAACCCAGGUUCUUAUCAGUAAUUCCCUUGGGGUGGAUUAGAGUGAAACGACACUGAAUAAUCGGUGUCUGAAAACAUAUAUAGCAGUCAGAGCCCUGGACUGAACUCAUAGCUAGACUAUGGUCAGCACAGUGCAAGUAUGCUCCGUAAAACCAAUGUCUUUUUCAAAGAGAAGAUUGGUAUCCAGUGACAGACAAAAUAGAGGCAUAUGAAUUGCCUGAAGGUCAGAGGCAGAACUGGAGAUCUGCUCCUGUGUCCUAGCUACAGAAUUACAUCGCUAUGAAGCAGUCACCUUCUUUCAAAUGUUACCCAUGUUUUCUUUAAGUUAUUUAUUCUUCAGUGCUUUUUCCAUGCACUGAAUUUUUAUUAAUGUCAACUUUUCUCCCCAAAACUGUUGUUGUGGUUCUUUUCAUUUAAAGAAUAAUAAAAAUACCAAAAAUCUGCAAA